GAGAGUCUUGUUUCUGAUUCCAAAUUAUGCAUGCUUACACACAUUAAUUCUGUUACCUGGAUCAUUGAUUCUGGGGCAUCUAAUCAUAUGACACAUGAUAAAACCUACUCUUUAACAUCAUACCUUUGACUGUUCCGCUUCCUUUAAACACAACUUGAUUUCUGUUCACAAGUUGAUAAAACAGUUGCACUGUAUUGUUUUGUUCACUCCAACUUCCUGUUUACUUCACAUGAUACAGGACCCUUCUCUGAAGAGGCCUCUGGAUCUUGGUAAAGAGGAAGCUGGCUUAUACAAA
This 295-nucleotide long non-coding RNA is filed under the name Nicotiana benthamiana. RNAcentral describes it as "long non-coding RNA (NBEN_LNC008399)". Lineage: Eukaryota; Viridiplantae; Streptophyta; Magnoliopsida; Solanales; Solanaceae. The record is from RNAcentral.